This 253-nucleotide ribosomal RNA is filed under the name uncultured bacterium. RNAcentral describes it as "partial 16S ribosomal RNA". It matches the Rfam family "Bacterial small subunit ribosomal RNA", at positions 524 to 776 of the family's 1533-position model. The record is from RNAcentral.
UACGUAGGGUGCGAGCGUUGUCCGGAAUUACUGGGCGUAAAGAGCUCGUAGGUGGUCUGUCGCGUUGUUCGUGAAAUCUCACGGCUUAACUGUGAGCGUGCGGGCGAUACGGGCAGACUAGAGUACUGCAGGGGAGACUGGAAUUCCUGGUGUAGCGGUGGAAUGCGCAGAUAUCAGGAGGAACACCGGUGGCGAAGGCGGGUCUCUGGGCAGUAACUGACGCUGAGGAGCGAAAGCAUGGGGAGCGAACAGG